This 385-nucleotide ribosomal RNA is filed under the name uncultured bacterium. Its description in RNAcentral is "bacterial SSU rRNA". It matches the Rfam family "Bacterial small subunit ribosomal RNA", at positions 28 to 416 of the family's 1533-position model. The record is from RNAcentral.
AUUGAACGCUGGCGGCAUGCUUUACACAUGCAAGUCGAACGGCAGCGGGGCUUCGGUCCGCCGGCGAGUGGCGAACGGGUGAGUAAUGCAUCGGAACGUGCCCAGUCGUGGGGGAUAACACAUCGAAAGAUGUGCUAAUACCGCAUACGUCCUGAGGGAGAAAGCGGGGGAUCUUCGGACCUCGCGCGAUUGGAGCGGCCGAUGUCGGAUUAGCUAGUUGGUGGGGUAAAGGCCCACCAAGGCGACGAUCCGUAGCGGGUCUGAGAGGAUGAUCCGCCACACUGGGACUGAGACACGGCCCAGACUCCUACGGGAGGCAGCAGUGGGGAAUUUUGGACAAUGGGGGCAACCCUGAUCCAGCCAUGCCGCGUGAGUGAAGAAGGCC